Molecule: ribosomal RNA, 596 nt
Filed under: uncultured bacterium
Lineage: Bacteria
Description: bacterial SSU rRNA
Rfam family: Bacterial small subunit ribosomal RNA
Source: RNAcentral
CCUACGGGAGGUAGCAGUGGGGAAUUUUCCGCAAUGGGCGAAAGCCUGACGGAGCAAUACCGCGUGAGGGAUGAAGGCCUAUGGGUUGUAAACCUCUUUUUUCAGGGAGGAAUAAAUGACGUGUACCUGAAGAAUAAGCAUCGGCUAACUCCGUGCCAGCAGCCGCGGUAAGACGGGGGAUGCAAGUGUUAUCCGGAAUCACUGGGCGUAAAGCGUCUGUAGGUGGUUAAAUAAGUCAACUGUUAAAUCUUGAGGCUUAACUUCAAAAUCGCAGUCGAAACUGUUUGACUAGAGUAUAGUAGGGUAAAGGGAAUUUCCAGUGGAGCGGUGAAAUGCGUAGAUAUUGGAAAGAACACCGAUGGCGAAGGCACUUUACUGGGCUAUUACUAACACUGAGAGACGAAAGCUAGGGUAGCAAAUGGGAUUAGAUACCCCAGUAGUCCUAGCUGUAAACAAUGGAUACUAGAUGUUGAACAGAUCGACCUGUGCAGUAUCAAAGCUAACGCGUUAAGUAUCCCGCCUGGGAAGUAUGCUCGCAAGAGAGAANACAAGAGUAGUAGACGNGNGAGAGCGACGACGACGACGACGAGGAGGAG